RNAcentral lists this ribosomal RNA (502 nucleotides) under uncultured bacterium. RNAcentral's name for it is "bacterial SSU rRNA". It matches the Rfam family "Bacterial small subunit ribosomal RNA", at positions 28 to 506 of the family's 1533-position model. The record is from RNAcentral.
GAUGAACGCUAGCGACAGGCCUAACACAUGCAAGUCGAGGGGCAACGGGGCGUAGCAAUACGCUGCCGGCGACCGGCGGAUGGGUGAGUAACGCGUAUGCAACCUGCCUUCAGCAGGGGGAUAGCCCGUUGAAAGACGGAUUAAUACCCCAUAACACAGGGGCUCCGCAUGGAGAUUAUUGUUAAAGGGAUGCUUCCUUCGGGGGUAUUCCGGCUGAAGAUGGGCAUGCGUUCCAUUAGGUAGUUGGUUGAGGUAACGGCUCACCAAGCCUGCGAUGGAUAGGGGAACUGAGAGGUUGGUCCCCCAACUGGUACUGAGACACGGACCAGACUCCUACGGGAGCAGCAGUGAGGAAUCUUGGUCAAUGGACGGAAGUCUGAACCAGCCAUGUCGCGUGAAGGAGGACGGCCUAAGGGUUGUAACUUCUUUUGCAGCGGAAUAAAGUAUUCCACGUGAGUGGGAUAUUGCAAGUACGCUGCGAAUAAGGAUCGGCUAACUCCGU